Molecule: ribosomal RNA, 497 nt
Filed under: uncultured bacterium
Lineage: Bacteria
Description: partial 16S ribosomal RNA
Rfam family: Bacterial small subunit ribosomal RNA
Source: RNAcentral
GAUGAACGCUGGCGGCGUGCCUAAUACAUGCAAGUCGAGCGAACAGACGAGGAGCUUGCUCCUCUGACGUUAGCGGCGGACGGGUGAGUAACACGUGGAUAACCUACCUAUAAGACUGGGAUAACUUCGGGAAACCGGAGCUAAUACCGGAUAAUAUAUUGAACCGCAUGGUUCAAUAGUGAAAGACGGUUUUGCUGUCACUUAUAGAUGGAUCCGCGCCGCAUUAGCUAGUUGUUAAGGUAACGGCUUACCAAGGCAACGAUGCGUAGCCGACCUGAGAGAGGGAUAGGCAGAAGUAGAACAGGAGAAGGGUGCAGACUACUACGAGAAGCAGAAGUAGGGAAUCGUCCGCAAUAGGCGAAAGACUGACGGAGCAAAGCAACGUGAGGUAUGAAAGACUACGGAUCGAAAAACUCUGUUAGUAGAGAAGAACAAAUAUGAAAGUAACAAUGAACAAAUUGACGGUACCAAAUCAGAAAGCAACGGCUAACUACGUG